CCCGCGCUCCUCCGGGCAGAGCGCGUGUGGCGGCCGAGCACAUGGGCCCGCGGGCCGGGCGGGCUCGGGGCGGCCGGGACGAGGAGGGGCGACGACGAGCUGCGAGCAAAGAUGUGCCCCGGGACCCCCGGCACCUUCCAGUGGAUUUCCUUGCGGAAAGGAUGUUGGCGGUCCCUGUGACCUGUGGAGACACGGCCAGAUCUGCCCUCCAGCCUGAUCUUUUGGCCAGAAGGAGAUUAAAAAGAUGCCCCUCAAGAUGGCUGUGCCUGUCAGCUGCAUGGAGCUUCGUUCAAGUAUUUUCUGAGCCUGAUGGAUUUACAGUGAUCUUCAGUGGUCUGGGGAAUAACGCUGGUGGAACCAUGCACUGGAAUGACACACGCCCGGCACAUUUCAGGAUACUAAAAGUGGUUUUAAGGGAGGCUGUGGCUGAAUGCCUCAUGGAUUCUUACAGCUUGGAUGUCCAUGGGGGACGAAGGACUGCAGCUGGCUGAGAGGGUUGAGAUCUCUGUUUACUUAGAUCUCUGCCAACUUCCUUUGGGUCUCCCUAUGGAAUGUAAGACCCCGACUCUUCCUGGUGAAGCAUCUGAUGCACGUUCCAUCCGGCGCUCAGCUGGGCUUGAGCUGACCAUACUCCCUGGAGCCUUCUCCCGAGGUGCGCGGGUGACCUUGGCACAUACAGCCAUCAUGAUGGUACUUUAAGUGGAGGCUGAAUCAUCUCCCCUUUGAGCUGCUUGGCACGUGGCUCCCUUGGUGUUCCCCUUUUACUGCCAGGACACUGAGAUUUGGAGAGAAUCCUGUUACACCUGGGAUUUAGGCACUUUCAAUCUGAAAAAAUACAUAUCCUUUCAGCACUCUGGACGGACUUGAGAACUGUCCUUACGUGACCUAAAGCUGGAGUAUUUUGAGAUUGGAGAAUUAAGGAUUUUAAAGAACUCCUGGCCCACUCGGAACUCUACGCUUGAAACAGAAACAUCUUCUCAAAACACCUCUGGCCAACAGAGAUUUUGAGAAACACAUUGAAGGAUCUGUUAACACUUGAUAUACCCAAUAAAAGCAGUGGUUGUGCCAGUGCUGAUCUGUCUUGAUGUGAAUGUGAACAAUGGGAACCUGAGCUGAGCAGUUAAUGCUAGGGUGACAGAAACUGGACCUCUCCCAAGACAUGUGACAGAGUAAUACAGCAGCCAACUUCUUCGCCAAAUUAAAGUUUUACAAGAUUUAACCUGUCAUCAAGACCUGGGAUUUUGGUGGUGGAUCCAAUCCAAUCACACGGGCCCUUAAAGGCAGAGGUUUUCUCCGACUGUGAUCAAGAAAAUGCCAUGAAAGAUUGUAAGUGUGAGAAGGAGUUGAUGUGCCACUGCUGGCUCUGAAAUGUGGGGCCCACUUGUAGGAACUGGAGGGAGAGACUGGUUGCUAACGGUGGCCCCUAGCUAACAGCCAACAGAGAAAUGGGGACCGCCGGCCUACAGCUGCAGGGAACUGAAUUCAGCAACAUGAAUAAGUUUGGAAGAGGAUCCUUCCAGAACCUCCUGAUAGGAGCCCAGUCCGCUGUCACCUUGAAUUCAGCUUCAUGAACCAGGAGCAGGGAAACCAGCUGAGCCAACCCACAUUCUGACCUAAGGAGCACUGAGAGCCAGUCUUGGUGCUCUGUGUUCACCUGGUUCAUCUGAGGAGCUGCAUCUACCCUGCCCAUGCCAUAGAUCCUGCCCUGUUUGCUUCUCCUGUUGCUGCUAGUGGACAUGAGAAGGACAGAAUAACGGGCUCCCAGAUUCACAAGCCCCACCAAGAGGAUCACCCCAGGAACGCUUGGAGGCUGAGGAGUUCACUGAGGCUACUGCAUCUUGAGACUCAGGAUGAAGACCCAGCUUGGGGCUGUCAAAGGUUUUUUGCAUGUCUGACACCCAUGACUCCACCUGGACCUUAUGGCUCCACCCAGAAGCAAUUCAGCCCAACAGGAGGACAGCUUCAACCCAUUACGAUUUCAUCUCUGCCCCAACCACUCAGCAGCAAGCACCUGUUACCUGUCCACCCCCACCCCUUCCCCCAAACUGCCUUUGAAAAAUCCCUAACCUAUGAGCUUUGAAUAAGAUGAGUACGAACUUCAUCGCCCACGUGGCGUGGCCGGCCUCGUGUCUAUUAAAUUCUUUUUCUACUACAA
Molecule: long non-coding RNA, 2155 nt
Filed under: Homo sapiens (human)
Lineage: Eukaryota; Metazoa; Chordata; Mammalia; Primates; Hominidae
Description: Pvt1 oncogene, transcript variant 31 (PVT1)
Rfam family: Pvt1 oncogene conserved region 1 (bases 34-211)
Source: RNAcentral